UACGGAGGAUGCAAGCGUUAUCCGGAUUUAUUGGGUUUAAAGGGUGCGCAGGUUGUUUGAUAAGUCAGUGGUGAAAGUCUGUCGCUUAACGGUAGGAUUGCCAUUGAUACUGUUGGACUUGAAUAUGGAUGAGGUAGGCGGAAUGUGUAGUGUAGCGGUGAAAUGCAUAGAUAUUACACCGAACACCGAUUGCGAAGGCAGCUUACUAAUCCAUCAUUGACGCUGAGGCACGAAAGCGUGGGGAGUCAAACAGGA
This 255-nucleotide ribosomal RNA is filed under the name uncultured prokaryote. Its description in RNAcentral is "partial 16S ribosomal RNA". It matches the Rfam family "Bacterial small subunit ribosomal RNA", at positions 524 to 777 of the family's 1533-position model. The record is from RNAcentral.